Long non-coding RNA from Lathyrus oleraceus (garden pea), 569 nucleotides. RefSeq lists it as uncharacterized. The record is from RefSeq and is a predicted model, not a curated record. The transcript has 2 exons. Lineage: Eukaryota; Viridiplantae; Streptophyta; Magnoliopsida; Fabales; Fabaceae.
CUAAAUACCUUGUUGAAAAAUUAAAAAUAUUUAUAAAAUAAUAUUUAUAAUGAGAUGAAGAGAAUACCAUAAUACUUUUGCAAUGAGUCCUUUUUAAACUUUGGUAUCAUGGUCAAAGAAAAGUUAAAGAAAAAUUUACUUGUAGCCUUAUAAUUUUACGUUAAAUCCUAUAUUUUAUUUUUCUCUCAUUUUUAAAGAGAUAUGGUGAAUAGGGAAAUACAUACGAAGAUAUUUAAAAUUCAAUAUGCAUUUUUAUCGGAUCACUUUCACUUGAUUGAUCUGAUUUGUUAUAUCUACCGGAUUAUUAAGAAACAAUUGUUCUGGUUUGCACUCUUCUUCGGAUCACUUUUAAUGGUGCAACGUAGAGGACGACAACAUGAUUAUUCAACGUGGAGGAAAAUAUUUCAAAGCUCACCGGGCAACAAAUGCUCAACAGGAGAAACAACCAUCAACUCAAGAGCAAGAACAUAACUUUUUACUCUUCUCACUAAGUAUGAACAUCAGGCUGCUUCUAGAUUAUGACAUGUGACAUUAAACUUAAUUAAGAUUUAAAUGCACUUUUAAUUUUU